AAAGUCGUAACAAGGUUUCCGUAGGUGAACCUGCGGAAGGAUCAUUACCGAGUCGGGGUCCCCCGGGCCCGAUCUCCAACCCUUGUCUACUCUACCGCGUCGUCCCUGGCGGGCCCGCUCGCGCAGCCGAGCCGCCCGGGAAUCCCCCCUUCCCGGGCCCGCGCCCGCCGACGGCGAUCGCCUGCAGUCUUGGAAACGAUAAACCGAACAAAACUUUCAACAACGGAUCUCUUGGUUCUG
This 240-nucleotide unclassified non-coding RNA is filed under the name Ascomycota sp. Its description in RNAcentral is "partial contains small subunit ribosomal RNA, internal transcribed spacer 1, and 5.8S ribosomal RNA". The stretch from base 1 to 47 matches the Rfam family "Eukaryotic small subunit ribosomal RNA", at positions 1785 to 1831 of the family's 1831-position model. The record is from RNAcentral. Lineage: Eukaryota; Fungi; Ascomycota.